This 1023-nucleotide long non-coding RNA is filed under the name Homo sapiens (human). RNAcentral describes it as "HSALNT0363269". The record is from RNAcentral. Lineage: Eukaryota; Metazoa; Chordata; Mammalia; Primates; Hominidae.
AACUUAGGUGGUUGAUUUGAAACUGUGAAGGUGUGAUUUUUUCAGGAGCUGGAAGUCUUAGAAAAGCCUUGUAAAUGCCUAUAUUGUGGGCUUUUAACGUAUUUAAGGGACCACUUAAGACGAGAUUAGAUGGGCUCUUCUGGAUUUGUUCCUCAUUUGUCACAGGUGUCUUGUGAUUGAAAAUCAUGAGCGAAGUGAAAUUGCAUUGAAUUUCAAGGGAAUUUAGUAUGUAAAUCGUGCCUUAGAAACACAUCUGUUGUCUUUUCUGUGUUUGGUCGAUAUUAAUAAUGGCAAAAUUUUUGCCUAUCUAGUAUCUUCAAAUUGUAGUCUUUGUAACAACCAAAUAACCUUUUGUGGUCACUGUAAAAUUAAUAUUUGGUAGACAGAAUCCAUGUACCUUUGCUAAGGUUAGAAUGAAUAAUUUAUUGUAUUUUUAAUUUGAAUGUUUGUGCUUUUUAAAUGAGCCAAGACUAGAGGGGAAACUAUCACCUAAAAUCAGUUUGGAAAACAAGACCUAAAAAGGGAAGGGGAUGGGGAUUGUGGGGAGAGAGUGGGCGAGGUGCCUUUACUACAUGUGUGAUCUGAAAACCCUGCUUGGUUCUGAGCUGCGUCUAUUGAAUUGGUAAAGUAAUACCAAUGGCUUUUUAUCAUUUCCUUCUUCCCUUUAAGUUUCACUUGAAAUUUUAAAAAUCAUGGUUAUUUUUAUCGUUGGGAUCUUUCUGUCUUCUGGGUUCCAUUUUUUAAAUGUUUAAAAAUAUGUUGACAUGGUAGUUCAGUUCUUAACCAAUGACUUGGGGAUGAUGCAAACAAUUACUGUCGUUGGGAUUUAGAGUGUAUUAGUCACGCAUGUAUGGGGAAGUAGUCUCGGGUAUGCUGUUGUGAAAUUGAAACUGUAAAAGUAGAUGGUUGAAAGUACUGGUAUGUUGCUCUGUAUGGUAAGAACUAAUUCUGUUACGUCAUGUACAUAAUUACUAAUCACUUUUCUUCCCCUUUACAGCACAAAUAAAGUUUGAGUUCUAAACU